CCUACGGGGGGCUGCAGUGGGGAAUAUUGGACAAUGGGGGGAACCCUGAUCCAGCCAUGCCGCGUGUGUGAAGAAGGCCCUCGGGUUGUAAAGCACUUUCAGUGAGGAAGAACGCCUGUUGGUUAAUACCCAUCAGGAAAGACAUCACUCACAGAAGAAGCACCGGCUAACUCCGUGCCAGCAGCCGCGGUAAUACGGAGGGUGCGAGCGUUAAUCGGAAUUACUGGGCGUAAAGCGCGCGUAGGUGGCUUGAUAAGCCGGUUGUGAAAGCCCCGGGCUCAACCUGGGAACGGCAUCCGGAACUGUCAAGCUAGAGUGCAGGAGAGGACGGUAGAACACCCGGUGUAGCGGUGAAGUGCGUAGAGAUCGGGAGGAAUACAAGUGGCGAAGGCGGCCUUCUGGACUGACACUGACACUGAGGUGCGAAAGCGUGGGUAGCAAACAGGAUUAGAUACCCCUGUAGUC
RNAcentral lists this ribosomal RNA (465 nucleotides) under Vreelandella stevensii. RNAcentral describes it as "partial 16S ribosomal RNA". It matches the Rfam family "Bacterial small subunit ribosomal RNA", at positions 338 to 795 of the family's 1533-position model. The record is from RNAcentral. Lineage: Bacteria; Pseudomonadati; Pseudomonadota; Gammaproteobacteria; Oceanospirillales; Halomonadaceae.